Molecule: ribosomal RNA, 461 nt
Filed under: uncultured bacterium
Lineage: Bacteria
Description: partial 16S ribosomal RNA
Rfam family: Bacterial small subunit ribosomal RNA
Source: RNAcentral
CCUACGGGUGGCUGCAGUGAGGAAUAUUGGUCAAUGGGCUUACGCCUGAACCAGCCAAGUCGCGUGAGGGAAGACUGCCCUAUGGGUUGUAAACCUCUUUUGUCAGGGAGCAACGCCGGCUACGUGUAGCCGGACUGAGAGUACCUGAAGAAAAAGCAUCGGCUAACUCCGUGCCAGCAGCCGCGGUAAUACGGAUGGUGCAAGCGUUAUCCGGAUUUACUGGGUGUAAAGGGAGCGCAGGCGGGACGGCAAGCCUGAUGUGAAAGCCCGCGGCCCAACCGCGGGACUGCAUUGGGAACUACCGGGCUGGAGUGCCGGAGAGGUAGGCGGAAUUCCUAGUGUAGCGGUGAAAUGCGUAGAUAUUAGGAGGAACACCAGUGGCGAAGGCGGCCUACUGGACGGUGACUGACGCUGAGGCUCGAAAGCGUGGGGAGCAAACAGGAUUAGAUACCCCAGUAGUC